AACGCAUAUGGCACCCGAGACUUCGGUCGAGGGUAUGUCUGUCUCAGAGUCGGUUUAUCCCGAAAUCCCCAAGGAGGUCCCACGGGCACCUUCCGAGGGGGGAGCUGGCCUCCCCGGUCCGGGUUCGCCUCCGGGCGUGCCCGAGCCGGGUGGGCCGAAGGAGAGAUACGGGGGACCGCACGCGACGGGCAAGCCACGGUUUUGGUGGGAGGACCUCGCGUCCGCAUCAUCGACCGGGCGCCCGAUCAAGGCGAGCUGGUUCUUUCCCCGCCCUUGCAGGAAACACGACUAAACCAUUCGACCUGAGAUCAGGCAAGAUCACCCGCUGAACUUAA
This 335-nucleotide unclassified non-coding RNA is filed under the name uncultured fungus. Its description in RNAcentral is "partial contains 5.8S ribosomal RNA, internal transcribed spacer 2, and large subunit ribosomal RNA". Lineage: Eukaryota; Fungi. The record is from RNAcentral.